UAAGCCGUUGAAGGUGUGUCGUGAGGCAUGCUGGAGGUAUCAGAAGUGCGAAUGCUGACAUAAGUAACGAUAAAGCGGGUGAAAAGCCCGCUCGCCGGAAGACCAAGGGUUCCUGUCCAACGUUAAUCGGGGCAGGGUGAGUCGACCCCUAAGGCGAGGCCGAAAGGCGUAGUCGAUGGGAAACGGGUUAAUAUUCCCGUACUUGGUGUUACUGCGAAGGGGGGACGGAGAAGGCUAUGUUGGCCGGGCGACGGUUGUCCCGGUUUAAGCGUGUAGGUGUGUGUUCCAGGUAAAUCCGGUU
RNAcentral lists this ribosomal RNA (301 nucleotides) under Salmonella enterica. RNAcentral describes it as "partial 23S ribosomal RNA". It matches the Rfam family "Bacterial large subunit ribosomal RNA", at positions 1243 to 1547 of the family's 2925-position model. RNAcentral also lists the same sequence under 2 other names. Lineage: Bacteria; Pseudomonadati; Pseudomonadota; Gammaproteobacteria; Enterobacterales; Enterobacteriaceae. The record is from RNAcentral.